This 585-nucleotide ribosomal RNA is filed under the name uncultured bacterium. Its description in RNAcentral is "partial 16S ribosomal RNA". It matches the Rfam family "Bacterial small subunit ribosomal RNA", at positions 355 to 1375 of the family's 1533-position model. The record is from RNAcentral.
UGGGGAAUUUUGGACAAUGGGCGAAAGCCUGAUCCAGCAAUGCCGCGUGUGUGAAGAAGGCCUUCGGGUUGUAAAGCACUUUUGUCCGGAAAGAAAUCCUUGGCUCUAAUACAGUCGGGGGAUGACGGUACCGGAAGAAUAAGCACCGGCUAACUACGUGCCAGCAGCCGCGGUAAUACGUAGGGUGCAAGCGUUAAUCGGAAUUACUGGGCGUAAAGCGUGCGCAGGCGGUUUGCUAAGACCGAUGUGAAAUCCCCGGGCUCAACCUGGGAACUGCAUUGGUGACUGGCAGGCUAGAGUAUGGCAGAGGGGGGUAGAAUUCCACGUGUAGCAGUGAAAUGCGUAGAGAUGUGGAGGAAUACCGAUGGCGAAGGCAGCCCCUGGGCCAAUACUGACGCUCAUGCACGAAAGCGUGGGAAGCAAACAGGAUUAGAUACCCUGGUAGUCCACGCCCUAAAACGAUGUCAACUAGUUGUUGGGGAUUCAUUUCCUUAGUAACGUAGCUAACGCGUGAAGUUGACCGCCUGGGGAGUACGGUCGCAAGAUUAAAACUCAAAGGAAUUGACGGGGUCAUAGCUGUUUCCU